AAUAUUAAAAUAAAAACCUUAAUUAAAUUCCAAUCAAAAUCUAGUCAAACCUUGAUCAAACCUCAAUCAAAUCUUCAUCAAAUUCUUGUCAAAUCUUAGUCAAUCCCUAAAUAAUUCCUGACCAAAUCUUAGACAAAUUCUAGUCAAAUCCUAGUUAAAUUCUAGUCAAAUCCUAAUCAAACCUUAAUCAAAUUCUAAAAAAAUCCUAAUAAAAUUUUAAUCAAAUCCUAAAUAAAUCCUAGUCAAAUCUUAAAUAAAUCCUAGUCAAAUCCUACACAAAUCCUAAAUAAAUUCUAAUUGAAUCCUAAUCAAAUCCUAGUCAAAUCCUAAAUAAAUUCUAAUCAAAUCCUAAAAAAGUCUUAAUUAAAUUCUAAUCAAAUCUUAAUCAAAUCCUAAAUAAAUCUUAAAUAAGUCCUAAUUAAAUCUCAAUAAAUCUUAGUCAAAUCCUAGUCAAAUCCUAAUAAAAUCCUAAUCAAAUUGUAAAUAAAUUCUAAUAAAAGCUUAAUCAAAUUCUAAAGAAAUUCUAAAUAAGCCGUAACCAAAUUCUAGACAAAUCUUACUCAAACUCUAGUCAAAUCCUAAUCAAAUCCUAAAAAAAUCCUAAUCAAAUUCUAAAUAAAUCCUAAUCAAAUUCUAGAUAAAUCCUAAAUAAGUUCUAAUCAAAUCCUAAACAAAUCUUAGUCAAACUCUAAACAAAUUCUAAUCAAAUCCUAACCAAAUCCUAACCUAAAACAAAUCUUAACUUUAACCAAACCUUAAAUCAAUCCAAAAUCCUAACCCUAAACUUAAACCAAAUCCUAAUCAAUCCCAAGUAAUUCCUAUAGCAGAUUUAAAUCUCAAUAAGUAAUGAAUGAAUUGUUGAUUUUAACUCAAAUUUUACACACUUCUUAACAAUUAAGUUAACAACAAGCAUUAAAAAAAUUGAAAUGGAUCGGAAUUACCAAAUAGUUCAUAACCUCAAAAAUGUACUCGAGUAUUGCUCGGCCUCUUUCUCUAACCUUAAUGCCAAUUUCUUAGAGCCAAUUACUCCUAAUUGAAUUGUUAUUUUGCUUUCAAAAUUUAGAUACUUGUUAAAAAUCAAGCUAACUAUCUUUAUAAAAAAAAUUGCCUUAAUCUAAUUGGUAUAUUAAUAGAUAUCUAAAAAAACCUCAUUGAUCUUUAAAACCCUAAAUUUGGAGAUCAUAAUCCAUAAAAAUCUUUAUGCCUUUCAAUCUAAAAAUUCAAUCAAAUCUAAAUUCACACCAUACAUCAAGCACAACUAUAUCCACAAAUCUAAAAAUUUUCACUUGUAGAUCUUUUGCCAAACUUACAAAAUUCUCCAAAAAAUAUCACCUAUUUUAUUUCUCAAAUUCAGAGUCAUCCAAAACAAAUUAAAACUUUGUAAAGCUCUUACAAAUUCAAUACAUACUCAAAUCACUCCAAAUCAAU
This 1428-nucleotide long non-coding RNA is filed under the name Physcomitrium patens. RNAcentral describes it as "long non-coding RNA (PPAT_LNC001475)". The record is from RNAcentral. Lineage: Eukaryota; Viridiplantae; Streptophyta; Bryopsida; Funariales; Funariaceae.